This 841-nucleotide unclassified non-coding RNA is filed under the name Hevea brasiliensis (rubber tree). Lineage: Eukaryota; Viridiplantae; Streptophyta; Magnoliopsida; Malpighiales; Euphorbiaceae. The record is from RNAcentral.
GCAAGAUCCCAUUCUUUGUUGUAAAAUUUUCCGAAACCAUCAAAUAUAUAGGCUCUUUGUCUCACCAUGCCUGGAAAGCGGGAUCGUCGAAAGGGGUUACGCAUAAGAGGAAUGUCCCCAGAGGGUUCUCUGUCCAUCUCCUCAGCAUCCCCACCUCCCAUUGAAGAUUCCCUAGCUAGAUCCAUUACUUUUACAGCCCAAUCAACAUGCAAUCCUAAAAUAAACACAUUCGCCAACCAACUCAGAAGGAGGAGUAUAAUACAAGCAAAUAAAACAGAUGGUUUACCUCGUUGAAAAGGUUAAAAAUCGGCAAGACAACGCCUGAAAUAAGAAAACCCAGAUCAAGAAAUUAGCCAAAACCAGAAAAGAUCAUCCACAGAGACAAGAUAAUAAAUACCCAGAAUUCCUCUAAUGGCAUGCGUUGAUAAUAAAGACUGGCGGGUUAACGACCAGACAGGAUUGAACUCUUGAAAGAAAAUAAAAAAUUGGCAAGGUUUGUUCAGAAUAUUUUAAAAAACAGAAAUUGUCCGGAGGAAACGAAGAUACAACGUGUUGGUCAAUUUCUGAGAAACCUCCAAGAAAACAUUUCCCCCACAAAAAAUAAUCUGCCAAAGGUUUUACUUACCCAUAAGGGUGUAAAACAAUGACAUGUGCUUGAAGGUGUAUGACAAUAGGUAAUAUAAUAAGAUAUCUUUAGAUUCUGCCAUGAAAUUUGGAGGUGCAGGUGAUAAGAGUUACAGCAGGCUACAGGAUUGGUGUUUGUUUGCUGCAACAAUUUAGGACUGCAGCUUAAAAUAGGCACCUUUUUUCUGAUGGCGGAUGCAAUGAGAAGUCUUUUUUU